AAUCCAUAGGUUAAUGAGGCGAACCGGGGGAACUGAAACAUCUAAGUACCCCGAGGAAAAGAAAUCAACCGAGAUUCCCCCAGUAGCGGCGAGCGAACGGGGAGGAGCCCAGAGCCUGAAUCAGCAUGUGUGUUAGUGGAAGCGUCUGGAAAGGCGCGCGAUACAGGGUGACAGCCCCGUACACAAAAGCGCAUGUGCUGUGAGCUCGAUGAGUAGGGCGGGACACGUGGUAUCCUGUCUGAAUAUGGGGGGACCAUCCUCCAAGGCUAAAUACUCCUGACUGACCGAUAGUGAACCAGUACCGUGAGGGAAAGGCGAAAAGAACCCCGGCGAGGGGAGUGAAAAAGAACCUGAAACCGUGUACGUACAAGCAGUGGGAGCACAGGUUUACCUGUGUGACUGCGUACCUUUUGUAUAAUGGGUCAGCGACUUAUAUUCUGUAGCAAGGUUAACCGUAUAGGGGAGCCGUAGGGAAACCGAGUCUUAACCGGGCGUUAAGUUGCAGGGUAUAGACCCGAAACCCGGUGAUCUAGCCAUGGGCAGGUUGAAGGUUGGGUAACACUAACUGGAGGACCGAACCGACUAAUGUUGAAAAAUUAGCGGAUGACCUGUGGCUGGGGGUGAAAGGCCAAUCAAACCGGGAGAUAGCUGGUUCUCCCCGAAAGCUAUUUAGGUAGCGCCUCGUGAAUUCAUCUCCGGGGGUAGAGCACUGUUUCGGCUAGGGGGCCAUCCCGGCUUACCAACCCGAUGCAAACUGCGAAUACCGGAGAAUGUUAUCACGGGAGACACACGGCGGGUGCUAACGUCCGUCGUGAAGAGGGAAACAACCCAGACCGCCAGCUAAGGUCCCAAAGUCAUGGUUAAGUGGGAAACGAUGUGGGAAGGCCCAGACAGCCAGGAUGUUGGCUUAGAAGCAGCCAUCAUUUAAAGAAAGCGUAAUAGCUCACUGGUCGAGUCGGCCUGCGCGGAAGAUGUAACGGGGCUAAACCAUGCACCGAAGCUGCGGCAGCGAACGUA
This 1017-nucleotide ribosomal RNA is filed under the name Salmonella enterica subsp. enterica serovar Saintpaul. RNAcentral describes it as "partial 23S ribosomal RNA". It matches the Rfam family "Bacterial large subunit ribosomal RNA", at positions 161 to 1216 of the family's 2925-position model. The record is from RNAcentral. Lineage: Bacteria; Pseudomonadati; Pseudomonadota; Gammaproteobacteria; Enterobacterales; Enterobacteriaceae.